GAUGGACGCUGGCGGCGUGCUUAACACAUGCAAGUCGAACGGUGAAGGCGGAGCUUGCUCUGCUGGAUCAGUGGCGAACGGGUGAGUAACACGUGAGCAAUCUGCCCCUGACUCUGGGAUAAGCGCUGGAAACGGCGUCUAAUACUGGAUACGAGCUGCGAAGGCAUCUUCAGCAGCUGGAAAGAAUUUCGGUCAGGGAUGAGCUCGCGGCCUAUCAGCUUGUUGGUGAGGUAAUGGCUCACCAAGGCUUCGACGGGUAGCCGGCCUGAGAGGGUGACCGGCCACACUGGGACUGCGACACGGCCCAGACUCCUACGGGAGGCAGCAGUGGGGAAUAUUGCACAAUGGGCGAAAGCCUGAUGCAGCAACGCCGCGUGAGGGACAACGGCCUUCGGGUUGUAAACCUCUUUUAGCAGGGAAGAAGCGAAAGUGACGGUACCUGCAGAAAAAGCGCCGGCUAACUACGUG
This 468-nucleotide ribosomal RNA is filed under the name uncultured bacterium. RNAcentral's name for it is "partial 16S ribosomal RNA". It matches the Rfam family "Bacterial small subunit ribosomal RNA", at positions 28 to 507 of the family's 1533-position model. The record is from RNAcentral.